AACGAACGCUGGCGGCGCGCCUAAUACAUGCAAGUCGAGCGAGAAGACGUAGCAAUACGUUUGUAAAGCGGCGAACGGGUGAGGAAUACAUGGGUAACCUACCCUCGAGUGGGGAAUAACUAGCCGAAAGGUUAGCUAAUACCGCGUACGCUCCUUGGACUUCGAUUCGGGGAGGAAAGCGAUACCGUGGGUAUCGCGCUCUUGGAUGGGCUCAUGUCCUAUCAGCUUGUUGGUGAGGAACGGCUCACCAAGGCUUCGACGGGUAGCUGGUCUGAGAGGACGAUCAGCCACACUGGCACUGCGACACGGGCCAGACUCCUACGGGAGGCAGCAGUAAGGAAUAUUGCGCAAUGGGCGAAAGCCUGACGCAGCGACGCCGCGUGGGGGAUGAAGGUCUUCGGAUUGUAAACCCCUUUCGGGAGGGAAGAUGGAACGAGCAAUCGUUCGGACGGUACCUCCAGAAGCAGCCACGGCUAACUUCGUGCCAGCCGCCGCCGUAAC
This 501-nucleotide ribosomal RNA is filed under the name uncultured bacterium. Its description in RNAcentral is "bacterial SSU rRNA". It matches the Rfam family "Bacterial small subunit ribosomal RNA", at positions 29 to 524 of the family's 1533-position model. The record is from RNAcentral.